This 742-nucleotide ribosomal RNA is filed under the name bacterium. Its description in RNAcentral is "partial 16S ribosomal RNA". It matches the Rfam family "Bacterial small subunit ribosomal RNA", at positions 110 to 832 of the family's 1533-position model. The record is from RNAcentral.
GUAAUAGCGUAGCGAAAGUGCCUCUGAGAGGGGGACUCGUUACGAAAGGGACGAUAUUACCGCAUACGCCCUGUGGGGAUGAGAGGGGGAGCUUCGGACCUCGUGCGAUAAGAGAGCGCUAGAUAUGAUUAUAUAUAUGGGGGGGGAAAGGCCCACCUAGGGGACGAUCUGUAGCGGUGCUGAGAGGAUGAUCCCCCACACUGUGACUGAGACACGGGCCACACUCCUACGGGAGGGAGCAGUGGGGAAUAUUGGACAAUGGGCGAAAGCCUGAUCCACCCAUGCCGCGUGUGUGAAAAAAGCCUUCUGGUUGUAAAGAACUUUUUUGUGGGAGGAGAAUACUGUGGGUAUUACCCCCGGAUCUUGUGAGUACCUCUGAAAAAAACACCCCGUAAAUCUACGGCCCCAGCCCCGGGAAUAUACGAGGGGCGAGCGUUAAUCGGAAUAUCUGGGCGUAAAGCGCGCGCGCAGGGGGUUGAUAUAAGUCUGAUGAAAUAUCCCGGGCUCUCAACUCUGGAAAUCUGCAUUGGAAGACUGAAACUAUAGAGUGUGAGAGAGGGGGGAAAAUUCCAGGGUGUAGCAGUGAAAUGCGUAGAUAUGUGAAGAAAUACCGAUGGCGAAGGCAGCCCCCUGGAUAUACACACUGACGUCUCAUGCACGAAAGCGUGGGAGAGCAACACAGAUAUUAUAUACCCCUGUAUAGUCCACGCCCCAUAAAACGUAUGUCAUUCUAGUUCGUUGG